AUACGUAGGGGGCGAGCGUUGUCCGGAUUUAUUGGGCGUAAAGAGCUCGUAGGUGGUUUGGUAAGUCAAAUGUGAAAUCUCCACGCUCAACGUGGAGGGGCCAUUCGAUACUGCCAUGACUUGAGUUCGGUAGGGGAAUGUGGAAUUCCUGGUGUAGCGGUGAAAUGCGCAGAUAUCAGGAGGAACACCCGUAGCGAAGGCGGCAUUCUGGGCCGAUACUGACACUGAGGAGCGAAAGCGUGGGGAGCGAACAGGAUUAGAUACCCUGGUAGUCCACGCCGUAAACGGUGGGCACUAGGUGUGGGACCCUUUCGACGGGUUCCGUGCCGUAGCUAACGCAUUAAGUGCCCCGCCUGGGGAGUACGGCCGCAAGGCUAAA
This 379-nucleotide ribosomal RNA is filed under the name uncultured bacterium. RNAcentral describes it as "bacterial SSU rRNA". It matches the Rfam family "Bacterial small subunit ribosomal RNA", at positions 523 to 898 of the family's 1533-position model. The record is from RNAcentral.